UCCGGUUGAUCCUGCCGGAGGCCACUGCUAUCGGGGUCCGACUAAGCCAUGCGAGUCAUGGGGCUCCCUUUUGGGAGCACCGGCGAACGGCUCAGUAACACGUGGCUAACCUACCCUCGGGUGGGGGAUAACCUCGGGAAACUGAGGCUAAUCCCCCAUAGGGGAGGAGGUCUGGAAUGAUCCCUCCCCGAAAGGCGUAAGCCGCCCGAGGAUGGGGCUGCGGCGGAUUAGGUAGUUGGUGGGGUAAUGGCCCACCAAGCCUACGAUCCGUACGGGCCCUGAGAGGGGGAGCCCGGAGAUGGACACUGAGACACGGGUCCAGGCCCUACGGGGCGCAGCAGGCGCGAAACCUCCGCAAUGCGCGAAAGCGCGACGGGGGGACCCCGAGUGCCCUGCCUCUGGCAGGGCUUUUCCGGAGUGUAAACAGCUCCGGGAAUAAGGGCUGGGCAAGUCCGGUGCCAGCAGCCGCGGUAAUACCGGCGGCCCAAGUGGUGGCCACUGUUAUUGGGCCUAAAGCGUCCGUAGCCGGCCCGGUAAGUCUCUGCUUAAAUCCCGCGGCUUAACCGCGGGGCUGGCAGAGAUACUGCCGGGCUUGGGACCGGGAGAGGCCGGGGGUACCCCAGGGGUAGCGGUGAAAUGCGUUGAUCCCUGGGGGACCACCUGUGGCGAAGGCGCCCGGC
Molecule: ribosomal RNA, 680 nt
Filed under: uncultured archaeon
Lineage: Archaea
Description: bacterial SSU rRNA
Rfam family: Archaeal small subunit ribosomal RNA
Source: RNAcentral